This 759-nucleotide ribosomal RNA is filed under the name uncultured Stenotrophomonas sp. RNAcentral's name for it is "bacterial SSU rRNA". It matches the Rfam family "Bacterial small subunit ribosomal RNA", at positions 28 to 776 of the family's 1533-position model. Lineage: Bacteria; Pseudomonadati; Pseudomonadota; Gammaproteobacteria; Lysobacterales; Lysobacteraceae. The record is from RNAcentral.
AGUGAACGCUGGCGGUAGGCCUAACACAUGCAAGUCGAACGGCAGCACAGAGGAGCUUGCUCCUUGGGUGGCGAGUGGCGGACGGGUGAGGAAUACAUCGGAAUCUACUCUGUCGUGGGGGAUAACGUAGGGAAACUUACGCUAAUACCGCAUACGACCUACGGGUGAAAGCAGGGGAUCUUCGGACCUUGCGCGAUUGAAUGAGCCGAUGUCGGAUUAGCUAGUUGGCGGGGUAAAGGCCCACCAAGGCGACGAUCCGUAGCUGGUCUGAGGGGAUGAUCAGCCACACUGGAACUGAGACACGGUCCAGACUCCUACGGGAGGCAGCAGUGGGGAAUAUUGGACAAUGGGCGCAAGCCUGAUCCAGCCAUACCGCGUGGAUGAAGAAGGCCUUCGGGUUGUAAAGCCCUUUUGUUGGGAAAGAAAUCCAGCCGGCUAAUACCUGGUUGGGAUGACGGUACCCAAAGAAUAAGCACCGGCUAACUUCGUGCCAGCAGCCGCGGUAAUACGAAGGGUGCAAGCGUUACUCGGAAUUACUGGGCGUAAAGCGUGCGUAGGUGGUUAUUUAAGUCCGUUGUGAAAGCCCUGGGCUCAACCUGGGAACUGCAGUGGAUACUGGAUGACUAGAAUGUGGUAGAGGGUAGCGGAAUUCCUGGUGUAGCAGUGAAAUGCGUAGAGAUCAGGAGGAACAUCCAUGGCGAAGGCAGCUACCUGGACCAACAUUGACACUGAGGCACGAAAGCGUGGGGAGCAAACAGG